ACUCGGCGUCGCAGUAGGCUUGGCCGCGCAGGCGCGCGGUGGAGGACGCGUCUCUCCAUGCCCCGCCCCGCCCCUCUCAGAAGCACGUGCGCUCGCGUCAUUUCCUGUUAUUCUUUUCGCUCCCACUCCGGUGCUGUGGGUUUGCUGGGGACCGACUCUUGGGGCGUGUCUGCUUCCUCUUUUCUGUCAGGGCCUUCUGAGAAGCGAGGAGGUAUCGGUCAUAGUUGUGACCAGGAUUGCGAGGCCAGAAUUAAAAUCGAAAUGCCUUCGCUUCUGAUGCCUCUGUUGGAUUCAAGGCAACUGCUUAUUCCUCUCCGAGCCUCAGUUUCUUCGUCUAGUAAAUGAGGAAGUUGGACGAUAUCUGCAUGUGUCCUUUUUUCAGGGACUCCUUUGAGAAUCUGAUGAGAACUAUAGACCCUUUCGCCAGAGAAAUGCACAUACACACCAAAGUUUUCCACAAAGUUUAGGCAGGUCACCUACGUUGGUGAUUUUUUGAGGGAUCGCUAUAUAUUUAUGAUUCUGAUGGUUACUCAGCAGACGGGAAAGGGGUGGGGUGAGCGCUGCAGCAGCUGCUGCCUCCUCAUCACCAGGACUGGUUCUGCCAAUCUAACUAUGCCUCUCCUCACCUGCCUUUGCCCAGCUCCACUUCUCAAAGCUUCGUGGGAAAAGAUGACUGUCCUCAGUUCUGUUACUUUUGACCCAAUGUCACAGUGGCAAAAGAUGUGACUUUUGCAGUCGAGGGGAAGAAAUAAAGAAUGUCCGCGCUUC
Long non-coding RNA from Marmota flaviventris (yellow-bellied marmot), 768 nucleotides. RefSeq lists it as uncharacterized. The record is from RefSeq and is a predicted model, not a curated record. Lineage: Eukaryota; Metazoa; Chordata; Mammalia; Rodentia; Sciuridae.